Molecule: small nucleolar RNA, 83 nt
Organism: Anguilla rostrata (American eel)
Lineage: Eukaryota; Metazoa; Chordata; Actinopteri; Anguilliformes; Anguillidae
Product: small nucleolar RNA SNORD100
Exons: 1
Source: RefSeq, a predicted model, not a curated record
UGAAUCCGUGAUGAUAUUCUGGCUCCCUCUUCUGAAACAAGUGAGGAGAACUGCCAUUGUUACCCAAAUAUUUCUGAGGUCCA